This 270-nucleotide long non-coding RNA is filed under the name Sorghum bicolor (sorghum). RNAcentral's name for it is "long non-coding RNA (SBIC_LNC004695)". The record is from RNAcentral. Lineage: Eukaryota; Viridiplantae; Streptophyta; Magnoliopsida; Poales; Poaceae.
GGUUUGGGUCGAUGGCCCCUCUUUCAAGCGCUUCAAUGGGGGCACACCACCCGCCGAUGAGAAGCCCGACUCAUCGGAGUCAGUGUACACCACCUCGCACCUAGGGGCAAACUGACCUCGCGAGUUGCGAGGCUGCUUCCGGGCAUGGAGGGUGUGCUUGCCGCGUCCCAUGGCCACCGCCUCUGUCACCACUCCUCUGCCGCCGCCGUGGGAUUGACUCCGCCGCCGCAGCCGUCGCCCGGAGGAGACGAGGAUGGGACUGUGUUCACG